CCACAUUGAAUAUUGGAACAUUUAAUUGCGCUAAAUCGUUUCAUUAAAAAAAUAACCUUUUCAAACUUAUUAAAUUAAGGCAAAUUUUAAAAAAUGGUAAUAUUUUUGACUGUACAAAUUGCUACCUCGAAAAUACAAUCAAUGUGUCUAAUGAAUAAUUUGUUUUAUAAACACUUUUUUGUUUACUUCUCAUUUU
RNAcentral lists this non-coding RNA (196 nucleotides) under Staphylococcus argenteus. RNAcentral describes it as "Staphylococcus aureus subsp. aureus MSHR1132 Teg49 sRNA". It matches the Rfam family "Teg49 sRNA". From Rfam's summary of the family: Present in the extended promoter region of the staphylococcal accessory regulator sarA. The record is from Rfam by way of RNAcentral. Lineage: Bacteria; Bacillati; Bacillota; Bacilli; Caryophanales; Staphylococcaceae.